CAAAGGACGUGCGGCUGCCGAGAGAACGAAGGAGAGGAGAAUAAGAAAGAAAAGCAAGAGAAGAGAGGAGAGUAUAGAGACGAGGUGCUGGCCGCUGAGUACAGAGAGAAGGUGUUGGCUGCUGAGUAUAGAGAGAGAGAGAGGAGGUUCCGUUGUCGAGACAGAGGAGGUGCCGCUACUGAGAGAGGAGUUGCCGCUGUCGAGACAGAAGAGGUACCGCUGAGUAUAGAGAGAGRGAGACGAGUUGUCGCUGCUGAGAUAGAGGAGGUGCUGCUGCUGCAUUCUAAGUCCAAAAAAACCUAGAAGAAAAGGAGAAAUCAGAGAUAAAAAUACAGAUAGAACAAAGAGAAGGGCGAAUACAAACAGAGGAGGUGCCGUUGCAUAUUCAAGUAAAAAAAAAUAUAAAACCUAAAAUCAUAUCGGCUGAAUCAAAGUUUAGAUACAUGAAUUAGCAACCCCUCCAAUUCAAAGUGGAGAUAAUUCUCAUCCCACUCCAGAAGUACUAUCACCAAAUCCGAUGCAAGAACUUAGAGAAAAGCCAUCUCAAGUGUCUACAAGAGAGGGGGAGAAGGGGAAAGGCAAGGGAGAGGGAAAAGGAAAGGGAAAGGCACUCUUUUGAUGAGUGUUUUACUUUCUUUUUUUUGUAAUAUUUUUGGCAAGGGAAAAACACUUCCGAUGAGUGUUCUAUUUUCCUUUUUUUUGUGAUCUUUU
Nelumbo nucifera (sacred lotus) is the source of this 711-nucleotide long non-coding RNA. RefSeq lists it as uncharacterized. The record is from RefSeq and is a predicted model, not a curated record. NCBI's taxonomy places the organism in Eukaryota, Viridiplantae, Streptophyta, Magnoliopsida, Proteales, Nelumbonaceae.